UCAGGGUGGGGGUGUGGGGAUGGGGAGGGGGGGGUCAGGGUGGGGCUGCGGGGGGGUCAGAGGGGAGGCUCCCGUCUGUUUUGUCCGUUUGUCCUGCGCUCACCGCAGCGUGGUCCACCACCAUCACCAGCUCCACAAAGCGCUGCUGGGCUGCGGCACGCCUGGCCUGGGGGGAAAAAAGGGGGUGGGGGGUCAUGGGGGAACCCAGUAGGGUGGGGGAUCAGUGGGGAGGGGGGGGGACCAGCUGGGGAUGGGAGCCCACCAGGGGGUGCCACCCCACUGUGCUGACAGAAGACGUUGUGGUGAUGGGACCCAGGGCAGGGAUGGGACCCCAGUAGGGUGAUGGGACCUGGGGGGGCAACGGGCACCCAGUGGGGUGAUGGGACCCCAAUGGGGUGAUGGGACCCCAAUGUGGCAAUGGGAUUUGGAGAGGCAGGACCCCAGUGUGACAAUGGGACCCCAAUGGGGCAAUGGGACCCAGUGGGGUGACAGGACCCCAACGGGACAAUGGGACCCUAAUGGGACAAAUGGGACCCAGUGGGGUGACAGGGCCCCAGUGAGGCAAUGGAACCCCAGUGGGGCAAUGGGACCCUAAUGGGGCAAAUGGGACCCCAACAGGGUGACAGGACCCCAACGGGGCAAUGGGACCCCAGGGCAGCAAUGGGACCCAGUGGGGUGAGAGGAUCCCAAUGUGGCAAUGGGACCCCAACAGGGUGACAGGACCCCAGUGGGGCAAUGGGACCCAGUGGGUGACAGGACCCCAACGUGACAAUGGGACCCCAAUAGGGCAAUGGGACCCCAAUGGGGUGACAGGACCCCAAUGGGGCAAUGGGACCCCAGUGGGACAACAGGACCCUAAUGGGGCAAAAGGGACCCCAACAGGGCAAUGGGACCCUAAUGGGGCAAAUGGGACCCCAACGGGGUGACAGGACCCCAACAAGGCAAUGGGACCCCAGGGCAGCAACGGGACCUCGGUGCCACUCACCCUGUGCACCGAUGGCGGCUCCGUCCCCACGUCAUCCCGGGGUCCCUCUGGGGGUCCCUGGGGGGGUCCCUGGGGGGGUCCCCGCCCGCAGUCCCGCGGUGCCACCCGCAGCUCCCGCAGCCGGUGGGCGACGUGCCGCCAGGGGGGGCCACCAGGGUCCGGCUCCAACCCGUAACUCCUGUCCUCCGCCAGCCGGAGGUGACCGCUGCAUGGGGACAGGGGGGGGGGGGGGGGGGGGGGGGGGGGGGGGGGGGGGGGGGGGGGGGGGGGGGGUCUCACCUGAGGCCGUUGCAGGCGCACAGAUUGGCCCAGGAAUGGGGGAAACCCCGCACGUGGCCUCGGUAGCAGCAGUGCUCCUAUGGGAUGGAGGGGUGUGGGGAGGGGUCCCCAAUUAGGGGGGGGGACGGGGGACAGACCCUAUGUGGGGUGGGGGGGUUGGGGUUUGAGGACAGUCCCCUGUAUGUUGUGGGGG
RNAcentral lists this long non-coding RNA (1457 nucleotides) under Phasianus colchicus (ring-necked pheasant). RNAcentral's name for it is "lncRNA (ENSPCLG00000017370.1)". Lineage: Eukaryota; Metazoa; Chordata; Aves; Galliformes; Phasianidae. The record is from RNAcentral.